RNAcentral lists this ribosomal RNA (1582 nucleotides) under Saccharina japonica. Its description in RNAcentral is "SSU rRNA". It matches the Rfam family "Eukaryotic small subunit ribosomal RNA", at positions 340 to 1823 of the family's 1831-position model. The record is from RNAcentral. Lineage: Eukaryota; Phaeophyceae; Laminariales; Laminariaceae.
CUUACAGUGACUGUGACGGGUAACGGAGAAUUGGGGUUCGGUUCCGGAGAGGGAGCCUGAGACACGGCUACCACAUCUACGGAAGGCAGCAGGCGCGAAAAUUAUCCAAUCAGGACACCUGGAGAUAGUGACAAAACAUAACAAUGCCCUGGCUUUUAUGGCUAGGGCAAUUGGGCUGAGAGCAGUGUAAAGGGAUGCUCGAAGACCAUUAGAGGGCAAGUCUGGUGCCAGCAGCCGCGGUAAUUCCAGCUCUAAUAGCGCAUAUUCAAGUUGUUGCAGUUAAAAAGCUCGUAGUUGAAUGUUGUUGCAGCAGUCCCGAGUGGUGGGUGUCGUGUUACAUGGCAGUUUCACCAAGACUCGUUGGAGUUUGUUGUAUGAUUAUGUGAUGGUGUUCCCAGGUCUUCUUCAUUGGGGGUCUGGGGGCGUUGUUGCAAUUUUACUGUGAAAAAAUGAGAGUGUUUAAAGCAAUUUGUUUCUGGAUAUUGAAAACAAAAGCAUGGAAUAAAGAGAUAAGACUUGUACAUGUGGCUACCUUGUGUGGUUGCAUGAUGUAAUGGUUGGUGUUAUGAUACAAGUAAUGAUUAAUAGGGACAGUUGUGGGUAUUCAUAUUUCAAUGUCAGAGGUGAAAUUCUUGGAUUUUUGAAAGAUGAACAAGUGCGAAAGCAUUUACCAAGGAUGUUUUCAUUAAUCUGGAGCAAAAGUCGGGGGAGCAAAGAGGAUUAGAUACCCUCGUAGUCUCGACCAUAAACAAUGCCAUCUUUGGAUAUCACAUGAUUGUAUGUACCGCCACGUCAAGUGGUGGUAUGAAUGGAUAUGUGAUGCACAAUGUGGGAAACCAAGAGAGUUUGGGCUCCUGGGGGAGUAUGGUCGCAAGGCUGAAACUUAAAGGAAUUGACGGAAGGGCACCACCAGCAGUGGAGCCUGCGGCUUAAUUUGACUCAACACGGGGAAACUUACCAGGUCCAGACAUGAAUUGGAUUGACAGAUUGAGAGCUCUUUCUUGAUUUUAUGGGUGGUGGUGCAUGGCCGUUCUUAGUUGGUGGGGUGACUUGUCUGGUUGAUUCCGAUAACGAACGAGACCUCUACAUGUUGGUUGUUUCCACUUAUUCAUUUUGUGAUAGGUGAUCUACUUGAAACUCCUAACGGGACAAUGGAUGUUUUAGUCCAUGGAAGUGAGAGGCAAUAACAGGUCUGUGAUGCCCUUAGAUGUUCUGGGCUGCACGCGCGCUACACUGACAAGUUCAACAAGUAUGUCUUUUAUCACUCGCCUUGCGUGGGUGUUGAUCCUGCAUGGAAACAUGUGGGUAAUCUUGAAAGACUUGUCGUGCUUGGGAUAGACGAUUGCAAUUAUUUGUCUUGAACGAGGAAUUCCUAGUAAACGCAAAUCAUCAGUUUGCAUUGAUUUCGUCCCUGCCCUUUGUACACACCGCCCGUCGCACCUACCGAUUGAGUGAAGAGGUGAAAUUUUCGAAUCUGCUUUGCCCCUGUUCACGCAGGAGCAAGGCUGAAAAGUAACUUGAAUCUUUUUACUUAGAGGAAGGUGAAGUCGUAACAAGGUUUCCGUAGGUGAACCUGCGGAAG